CACUCUUUUUAAUUUUGGUAUGAAUAUAUGAACCCAAGUACAGAUGUUGUUCUGAUAGAUUAUUGUAGGAUUCUGUUUUCUUUAUUGGGUAUAUUAUUCCACUACUUUUGAUGGGUAUAUGAUAGGUUUGGUAGUUUAUUGUGGUAUUUUGUACUUGUGUGUUCGUAAUGGUUGAUUGAAAAUUAGUUUUCCAUCUUCUUAUUAUUGGUUUUCCCCCUUCUUAUUUUGCUUGACUCUACCCCUAAUUGUUGGUAUUUGCUUCAUGUUACUAUGUUAGGACUGAAGAAAAUCGAGACAGGCGCUUGAAAUUUCAGCAUAAAAUGUAACUUGACCGUAUAAUUUUAUUAGUAUUUGUAUUAAAGGUGGAUCCAGCAUAGCAGCAGUAAUUGUACUUCAGACACUUUGUCGAGCUUGAACUAUAUAUUUGUAGACAAAAAGCAUAUGUGUGUAUCUAAAGAACGAAUUUUGUGUCUCUUUCAAAAGGUUAAGGAUUUUAUAAACAGAGCUCAAAGAUUGUGCAAAAGAUUACAUACAAACACAACUCCUUCACACAUUACUGUAGGAAGCUUAGAAGAUCUAAGAUGAAUUUUGUAUUUGUAUCUAUCGCGGAUCUAGCAUAGAGGCAUUGGUUGCACUUGUACACAAACACAUAGUAUUUAGACAUAUAUCCAUAUAUGUUUAUCGGACUCUGCACUUACUGGUUAUAUGGCACAAAAUAAUUGUCAAAAUUACACGGAUUCCUUUGUGUUUAUUCCGCUCAUAUUCUUAACUACUGAUUUCAGUAUAACAACUAAGAAAUUGUCAUGUUAGUUUUCCUGGUCUUUCUUUAUUUUAAUUACAAAUGUGUACGAAAACUUUAUGCAUAGGUUCACACACAGAUGCACUACUACCGACAUUGUCACGGUGAAUUGUAUCUAAACAAAAAGUUGUGUUGAGACUUUGAUGCAGCCAAAGUGCAUAGUUGUGAAAUUUUUAAGAGUACAUAUUUUUUUUUACAUUUUAAUGGGAUUAAAUUGCGAUGACGGACAAAUCUCUGUCUGUUUUCAUGACCAUAUACUGGUAUUUGUUAUAUAAUUCUAAAGCUCGGUUCCAUUGUUUUGACUGCGUUGGCUGAAAUUCUAAAGCUUGGUUCCAUUGUUUUGACUCCCAAAUACUUUCUUGGUGUUUCACAUCACUCACCUUACCUGUAUGCUUGAAACUAAGCAGAUCUUUGCUAUUAACAUGUCCUGUGAGAGUAUAGGAUUAGUACUCAGUUUCUUUGAACAGGGAGAGACUAGCUACUUUUUAUCUUGGGAUGUAAUCCAAGCUUACUCCAUUGUAAAGAUAUUGGAUCUUUCGCCACUAUGAGUAGAACCUAAAGUUAGGAAAUACCAGUCUUCUCAUCGCUUUAUUUCCCUUCUUUACUAUCACAGUGAUGGCUAAUGUUAGUAAUAGCAGCAUUGUCAGUACUCACCUAGGAAUAUAUUAUCAGACAUAUUCAGUAUUCAACAACUUCAGCAGAUUCUCUUGCGAAAUAGAACAUAACUUUUUGUACCCUUUGGGAAAACUGUUCCAUGGAGGUAAGUCCGGACUUGAAAACGUGCCAAUAGAAGCAGAAAUCUAAGUUAAUUGUGAUGACCCGCCACGUCAUCAUGCCACCUAAGUGCCAUUUGGAGCUAUUUUUGCCAUGUGGAUGCUUACAUGGAAAAAAAAAGUCUAGCAUGGGUUGGAUGAUUCUAGAGCUAUGGAGAUUCAUGUGGAGAUGCUCUAGAUAUUUAUGGACUUUCUAGAAGAUUUCUUAGGAAGACCUUAGAACAUUCUAGCCUAGUGGAUAAUUCUAGAGUAGGGACUUCUUUGUAAAUAAGUAGGGACUUAUACAUUAAUUAUUAUUUGCAUACUAGUCCCUAGGUGAGUAGUAUAAAUAGAGGGGCAUCCAUUUGUAAAAAAUCAUCAAGCAAAAUCAAUUAAGUCUUCUAUAAUAAAAAGCUUCCUUCUAGCAAAUUUCUCUUGUCCUAUUCACCUACUAUUCCCUUAGUGAUCUUAAGUGUAGUAAUCUAGGCUGACUUGGCAUAGCAAGAUCGUUAGCAAGUUGUGCAAGAACGUGAGCGAGUUGUCAAGUGUCGCACGUGCGCUUAGUUGAAGACUAAGGACGUGACAUAAUGCAGUAUAUUGACGUAUUUAUCUACAUUCUAAAUGAACCAAAUAAUCAGGACACCCGAAGUGCUCUGGUGCAAAACAUGCUAUUAAGUUAUCCCAUCUUCAGAAUAUUGGAGAAACACUUAUCGAGAAAACUUAUUAUCUCGACAGGAGCUGCAACUUCAGUAAUACAAUGAAAACCCAAGUGCUAGAAAGAAGAGGCACCGUAGGAUAUGAUCAAGAAAACAUAUUGAUUGAUCACUGAACCAAAGAUGUUUGACAACAAAAUUGGAAUUAAGGCAAGGGUAUGAGGAAUCACCAAUAAUUAUAUUACUUACAGAAGUAUCCAAUAAACUAGAACAAACAUAUUGCACCAGCAUAGGCUCACAUUUAUAUACUAACAAUUACUGACCAGAAAGUCAGAGUAUGCUAUUGAAUUUUGUCAAAGGAAGGUUUUUCAGGUGAAGUUGUGACAACAUGGCCUAAAGCUUUGUAACCCUCAGGUGGAAUGGGCAGCCAAAUAUAGCCAAGAUUAGUACUAUUUUUAUUCUUGAAUUUUGAUGACUCACUAUUCCAAAUAGGUAAUAUGGGGAUAGGCAACACUCCUUUGCUUGGGCUAUCAAGUUUUGUACCAUUCUUAUCCAUAGUUUCUCGGGAUUAUAUAAUUCUUAAGAGAUUAUCUGCUUAUGUCCUUGAAAAUUUAGAUUAUCUGCUUAUGUCCUUGAAGAUGUAAUUCGAUCUUAAGAGACUAUUUGCUUAUGUCCUUGAAACAUUUCUUCUUUCUAAUUUUCUUUUGUAUUGGAAACAGGUGCGACUUGAACCAAUUUUUUGUGUCUGAGAGUAGAAAAAUGGAGUGUUUGCAGGGUGUCUGCUUUGCGACUUCACAGACACUCAUCAAAUUUUACUUUUCGGAAUUAGUAAAGAGAAAAUUACAUGUUGAUUGGUGUAAAUUCAGCUGACGUGGCUAACCAAGACAUAUUGGGAUGAUUCGGAAAGCAUUUCAAUGACCUCUUCUGCUUGGAUCAGAGCGUGGUAUUCUGCGUUUGACCAGAAGAUGACGACAAUUACUAUUACUCAUGGUGCUUCCACUUCUUGCACAGUUGCAGCCAUUAAUAUGACCAUCAUCACAACAAUGGAGGACGAUACACAAAGUUUAUGAACUUAGCUGGCCAUAUGGAGUGUACGUUCGUUUGGUUGUUUUGUCUUUGGUAACGGGAGUGUUCCGCUUACAGAGGUUGAGAGUAUUGAUAAAAAUCAUAAAGAGAAGGAAAGAGAAAAGCCUGCCUUACUGGUUGAACUUGUCCUUAAUGAAGACUGCACGGUGAAAAUUGGGCAGAGGUGGUUUCAGAAGUAGAAUACAUAGAGUCUGAGAAUUUGAAUGAUGUAGAAGAUGUUGACACAAGCCUUAAGACACUGUUGACUGGGCUAGAGUCGAAGGACUGGAUUUUAGUGUGUGAGACUCUCAAUGAUAGAUAGGAGCAUGUCUUGAAAAAUACGUGUGACCUGAUUGUGCCUUUUGGUCUUUGCACAGGUAUUGAUCUUUCUUCAACUAAAGCAAAAGCAGCAAGCAGAAGACAUUGUAAAUUAGGCUUGAUGGAAAAAUAUAUUUUGGCAUGCUCCUUCCAUUUAAAGUUGAAUUGCUAUCAGUUGAUUAAUUUUACUAUGCUUCCUUUUGUUUUCUGCUUGUAUAUAUAAUAAUUUUCAUUAUAUAUAAGUGCGGUGGGGGUACGAACACAGCUGCCCCCACUUGUACAAUGAGCUUCACAAAUUGUACACGCAAUGAAUGCUUGUAUCAUGAGCUAUAUAACUUGUACACUUUAUCAAACUAUUUUUAUAUCCCACGUA
This is a long non-coding RNA of Lycium barbarum (goji berry), 3960 nucleotides long. RefSeq lists it as uncharacterized. NCBI's taxonomy places the organism in Eukaryota, Viridiplantae, Streptophyta, Magnoliopsida, Solanales, Solanaceae. The transcript is spliced from 5 exons. The record is from RefSeq and is a predicted model, not a curated record.